AUGGCUAAUUUGACAGGGAGAAGCAUGGAACCACCAGCUGCUGCAUGGCCACCCUGCGGCUUUCCGUCCGACUGGUCCAUUGAACCUUUGUGGAUUCCUGGCUACCCUGCCGAUUCUGCAAUGUGCUUCCAAACACAUGUUCCUAGCAGCUCUAGCAGAGGGCAGCUGCAGCAGGUUCAGUACACGGCAGCCACAACACCAAAUUUAGCUAUCCAGGAAGAUGAUGAAGAAGAAGAAGCACAAUACAAGACAGAAAUGAAGAUCCACGACCCGAUCCAAGUGUUCGCGGAAGCAGCACACGAGUUCAAGGUCGACAUCGACAUGAAGAACAUGAAGAUCCACAGGUACCCUGCAAGCAUUCAACGUCUCGGCGGCUACUACACAACCCCGACGACGGUGGCCAUCGGGCCUUACCACCACAGGAAGGGCCGCCUCAGGCAGGCAGAGAAGGUGAAGCAUGUGGCCGCCUACCACUGCAUCAUGGAGUCGGGCCGCUCCAUCCAGGAAAUGUACGCCGCGGUGGCCUCGGUCACCGACGAAGCCCGUAGGCUCUACCACACGGACAUGGUGGCCGGUAUGGGCGACGAUGACUUCCUGCCCAUGAUGUUCUAUGACGCGUGCUUCUUGGUGCAGUACAUGCUGACUUGCACCACCAAUGGCUCCGAGAUGGAUCCGUCGAUGCGCAACUACUUCGAUGACAACAACGGCAACAUCUUCCACGACAUCAUCCUGCUGGAGAACCAGCUCCCAUGGCGGGUGGUCAAGACCGUCAUGGGGUUCAGGCCCGUGUCCUUGGAGGAGUUCAUCACCUCAUUGAAAGACGGCCUGCAAGACCGCAAAUUAACCGAGAAGUCUUUGGUCCUUGACGAUAGCUACGAGCCACCGCACCUCCUCGGCCUUCUCCGGUUCUACAUUGUAGGGAGAAGCAACACCAAGCGCAACUCCCUACCCCAAACUGGGUCGAUGGGGAUCCCUGUGAGCGCCAUCGAGCUCGCAGAAAUUGGCAUCGCACUGACGGCUAACAAGACGGGUGAGCUCAUAGAGAUGGGAGUCAGGAACAAAGGUACCCUCUUCGCCGAGCUCUUCCUGGCACCGAUGCCCCUGGACCAUGUACGCGCGAGCUGGCUUGUCAACAUGGCAGCCUUCGAGGUAUGCACCACCCCGAACUUCCAAGCGGUCGACGAUAAGGAGUCUGUUGUCUGCUCAUACCUCCUCCUCCUUUCAAUGUUCGUGGACCGGGAGGAGGACGUGCAAGAGCUACGAAGGAAGCGUCUCUUGCUGGGAGGAGGAGGGCUCGCCAACAAGGACGCCCUCGACUUUCUCAUUGGGCUCCACGGCCUGCCUGCUGGGUCUGGCUACCUCCUCACUAUGGAAGAGAUCCAUAAUUACAAAGCGAAGAGGCGGACGCGGACCCGGUUGCACGCCUUCGUUUACAAGAACUUGAGGAUCAUCAUCGCCUUCUUCUCCGCCAUUGGUGUGCUUGUCAGUAUCUUUGGCACACUCAUGUCUCUCAAGAGACGAUCGCUCCCUUAA
RNAcentral lists this ribosomal RNA (1533 nucleotides) under Triticum aestivum (bread wheat). RNAcentral's name for it is "partial small subunit ribosomal RNA". The record is from RNAcentral. Lineage: Eukaryota; Viridiplantae; Streptophyta; Magnoliopsida; Poales; Poaceae.